Molecule: transfer RNA, 89 nt
Filed under: Florenciella parvula
Lineage: Eukaryota; Dictyochophyceae; Florenciellales
Description: tRNA-Ser
Rfam family: tRNA
About the family: Transfer RNA (tRNA) molecules are approximately 80 nucleotides in length. Their secondary structure includes four short double-helical elements and three loops (D, anti-codon, and T loops).
Source: RNAcentral
GGAGAAAUGGCUGAGUGGUCGAAAGCGGUAGAUUGCUAAUCUAUUGUAUCUAUUUAUUGAUACCGAGGGUUCGAAUCCCUCUUUCUCCU